Molecule: transfer RNA, 75 nt
Filed under: Candidatus Saccharimonadota bacterium
Lineage: Bacteria; Candidatus Saccharimonadota
Description: Candidatus Saccharibacteria bacterium tRNA-Gly
Rfam family: tRNA
About the family: Transfer RNA (tRNA) molecules are approximately 80 nucleotides in length. Their secondary structure includes four short double-helical elements and three loops (D, anti-codon, and T loops).
Source: RNAcentral
GCGGGUGUAGUUCAUCGGCUAGAAUGCAAGUUUUCCAAACUUGAGAGGAGAGUUCGAUUCUCUCUACCCGCACCA